RNAcentral lists this unclassified non-coding RNA (282 nucleotides) under plant metagenome. Its description in RNAcentral is "partial contains small subunit ribosomal RNA, internal transcribed spacer 1, and 5.8S ribosomal RNA". The record is from RNAcentral.
UUUCUGUAGGUGAACCUGCGGAAGGAUCAUUGUCGAAACCUGCCCAGCAGAACGACCCGCGAACUUGUAUAAACAACCGGGGGCGGGGGGCGUUCUCGCCCCGUGCCCCCGAACGCCGGGGAGACACUCGUGCCUUCUUGCCGAACAACGAACCCCGGCGCGGUCUGCGCCAAGGAACUUCAACUAAAGAGUGCCUCCGGUCGCCUCGGAAACGGCGUGCGUGCCGGGGGCGAAUCUUGUGCAAAACCAUAACGACUCUCGGCAACGGAUAUCUCGGCUCUC